AAAAGGGGCUUCUGUCUGUCGCGAGUGGCACACGUAGGGCAGCUUGAUUGCUCUACGUGAGAAUCAACAUCAAGAGAUUUCAGAAGCAUAACUUUUUGGCAUCUGGGAAGCUGGUAAUUCUUAGUCCUGGUACCUGU
Molecule: small nuclear RNA, 137 nt
Organism: Phyllostomus discolor (pale spear-nosed bat)
Lineage: Eukaryota; Metazoa; Chordata; Mammalia; Chiroptera; Phyllostomidae
Product: U11 spliceosomal RNA
Exons: 1
Source: RefSeq, a predicted model, not a curated record